This 83-nucleotide transfer RNA is filed under the name Candidatus Aminicenantes bacterium ADurb.Bin508. RNAcentral describes it as "tRNA-Tyr". It matches the Rfam family "tRNA". From Rfam's summary of the family: Transfer RNA (tRNA) molecules are approximately 80 nucleotides in length. Their secondary structure includes four short double-helical elements and three loops (D, anti-codon, and T loops). Lineage: Bacteria; Candidatus Aminicenantota. RNAcentral also lists the same sequence under 1 other name. The record is from RNAcentral.
GGGCAGGUGCCAGAGAGGUCAAAUGGGGCGGGCUGUAAACCCGUUGCCGCAAGGCUACGUAGGUUCAAAUCCUUCCCUGCCCA